RNAcentral lists this ribosomal RNA (113 nucleotides) under Salmo salar (Atlantic salmon). The record is from RNAcentral. Lineage: Eukaryota; Metazoa; Chordata; Actinopteri; Salmoniformes; Salmonidae.
GCUUACGGCCAUACCAGCCUGGGUACGCUCGUCUGAUCUCGGAAGCUAAGCAGGGUCGGGCCUGGUUAGUACUUGGAUGGGAGACCGCCUGGGAAUACCAGGUGCUGUAAGCA